UCAAGACGGGCGGCUUAAGAUCAUUACGCCAGCAUCCUAGUCAAAGACGCAGUCCUCGGUCUAGAUAGGCAGUAUCAACAAAGUCUAUAACACUUCACCGAAGUAAAGCUACAUUCCAAUGUCAUUAUCCUACCAUCCAAACCGAUGCUGGCCCAGUAAACUGCGAGGAACCCAACCAAAAAGGAAGGGAACGCAAAAUACCAAGUCUGAUCUCAAGCCCUUCCCUUUCAACAAUUUCACGUACUUUUUCACUCUCUUUUCAAAGUUCUUUUCAUCUUUCCAUCACUGUACUUGUUCGCUAUCGGUCUCUCGCCAAUAUUUAGCUUUAGAUGGAAUUUACCACCCACUUAGAGCUGCAUUCCCAAACAACUCGACUCUUCGAAAGCACUUUACAUGGAAUUGGGCAUCUCAUCGCACGGGAUUCUCACCCUCUGUGACGUCCUGUUCCAAGGAACAUAGACAAGAGCCAAAACCAAAGUUACCUUCUUCAAAUUACAACUCGAACACUGAAAGUGCUAGAUUUCAAAUUUGAGCUUUUGCCGCUUCACUCGCCGUUACUGAGGCAAUCCCUGUUGGUUUCUUUUCCUCCG
This 590-nucleotide ribosomal RNA is filed under the name Dujonia zeylanoides. Its description in RNAcentral is "[Candida] zeylanoides partial 26S ribosomal RNA". Lineage: Eukaryota; Fungi; Ascomycota; Pichiomycetes; Serinales; Debaryomycetaceae. The record is from RNAcentral.